GGCAUUGGACCGGAUUUACGUGGGAAAAUAGAAAACAGAGAGGGCCAGAGCGGGGUCGGGGGGGGUGACUUCCGUCCGGACGGGACGAUCGAUUCUUGGCGCACCGCCCUGAUUCCGAUCCGGCCGCGAGCUGCGGAGACCCACCGAUCGAGAGGGCGAUGAACAUCCUCGUGCGCGCGGGGCUUCCCCUUCCUCCGCCGCGUGAGCUCGAUCGCUCACUGUUGCCUCUUCGACCUACCGACGGCAGCCGCGCGCGAGCGAGCCCGCAAAGGAACCCAACCAAAAAGGUUCUCAAAAGGGUCUAGCCUGUGGUGAACCUGAAUGUUGAUGAUAGCCCAACAUUGAACGGCAAAAGGACAUUCAAGAAAGAGGUGUGUCAAGGAUUCUUCAACAUUUGCAUUGCAAAGAACACAGUUCUCAAAAGUUGCACCAACGUGAAACAUAAUACUACAAGGUAGAGUGGUGGCUGCAAAGUACCUGAACUACAUGCGGUAGAGUGGUGGCUGCACAAGUACCUGAACUACAUGUGGGUAACCCUUAGAAUCAUCAACAGACUACAACAGUUGCAACAAAGUGAAACAAAAUACAAGUGGUGGCUGCACAAGUAUCUGAACUACAUGCGGAGCCGAUCCCAGAAACCCAUCAGUUGAAUCCCCGUCAGAAGACUAGAGCCACCCUCUCUGCCAUUUAUCCGGACAAGGUGACCAAACCCAUUAUCAUGUACAAUGCCAUGCAGCAAGUGACGUGGAUUAUCCAGCUGCCUAUAGUCCCAAUCUUCCGGAUCAUCAUAGGAGAUCCCAUUUUUGCAUGACGGGCACCUGAUUAUUAAUGAUGAAGAUGAUCAGUUCUUGUAGGGGCUUGCGUUGCUGGAUACAUGUGUCUCGAGUUGCUUGAAUCAAACAAUUGCUUGUUGCAGUACUAUCUUUUUCACUAUUUGGGUUAUUAUUGUUGAGGGGUUUGAUUUUGUAUUACACUACAGUAACAAUUGAUGAUUUUACAGGAUAGGUUAGCUUACCGUGUUUCAAACAACUGGGCCAUAAACCCACAAUGCUUGCAGGUUUUGUAGUCUUGCACGUCAUAUUCAUUCCGAAUUAUGAAAUGGUACCUCCUCCCACAAACAGGGUGUCUGCUCCAGCCUAUUAAGUUGCAAGACAAAAGAAGCAAAAAAAAUGUGCACACACGUUCAGGCGAACACACAGAAGCAGGCUGCAGGCAGAGCAAUGUGUAUGCGGAAUUGCGGAGUCAAGGCUAC
Molecule: long non-coding RNA, 1252 nt
Organism: Sorghum bicolor (sorghum)
Lineage: Eukaryota; Viridiplantae; Streptophyta; Magnoliopsida; Poales; Poaceae
Exons: 5
Source: RefSeq, a predicted model, not a curated record